Molecule: long non-coding RNA, 730 nt
Filed under: Pogona vitticeps (central bearded dragon)
Lineage: Eukaryota; Metazoa; Chordata; Lepidosauria; Squamata; Agamidae
Description: lncRNA (ENSPVIG00000025142.1)
Source: RNAcentral
AAAGCCCACGCCUGCCUAAAGAGUCCCCGUGCUGUCAGAGCAGUGGUUUGGGCUCAGGGCAGCCCCCCCCCGCACCCCCAGUGGAUUCUGGGUGUGGAAAAACUGGACUCCAGCACUUGGAGCUUGCUCACUCUUGUAGACUGUCUGCUGCCUGCAGUUCCUGCCUUAGACAGACUCCCGGGGAUCCCACCUCCGCUGACUCAGAAAUAUGCCCGCGUUCAACAGGAUGCAAACCCGUAUAAAACUUGGCUGAUCUCUCCAGGAGCCCAACAGGUCAGUGCCAACCAAUGCUGGUUCUUAAGAGGGCGGCUCACUCUCUGGUGUCUCUGGCUUGGGAUGGCCACUCCGCCAGUCCUCCCCUUGCUCACUGAUUGCAGCUAAUAAAUGAACAAAGGCACCCUUUGACAACUCCUUGGUCCCCAACUCCCACUCUUGCAGUUUCCUUUGGCUUCCUUCCUUCUGUCCAUCAUCAGCUCCUUCCUUCCCUUCCCCUUCCCUUCCCCUGCCCCUCACCUCCCCCAAAUUCUGCAGGAUCCUGAGACUCAUUCCCCAGGGCCAGGAAAAUCAUCACCGGCCAUUCACAAAAGGAAGGAUUGGCCAUCCUGGCCCAUUAACCUGCCAUUUGCCUCAUAAAGGAACUCCACCCACCCAGCAGUCAAAUAGUUCACUGUUCCUUUUGGAAAUGAAUGGAAUACAAAGAAAUUAAUUGUCCCACCUUUAAAGUUUUCAC